GUGUGUGACCUGGAACAAGAAACUCUCUGGAUGUGAACUUUGUGAACUGGUAUCCACCCCUCCUUUUAGGCUAAUGUUGCCUGUGGACGUUCCCGGAGGCAGGAACCCCGGCCCGUGCUUCGCCAUUGAGCACAAUCACAGUCUCACUGGGGACUAACAAUCCACUGAGGUUUACCGUGUGGCAGUGCCUCUGAACACGUCACCCACAAGUAACCUCAGCCUGCGGAUACAGGAGAGUGAGACCUCAGGGCCUGGUCUGGAUGAGAGUAAGGCUGAUGAAGUCACUGCCCACUGCUCUUCCUGUUCUCCGGGUUUUCUGGAGCUUCUGACCGAACACCCUGUGUGUCUCCCAUGGAAGCCUCGGGAGAAGAUGGAGAAAACCACAGGCGGCCUCAGCUGUGGCCAGCAGCUCUCCCUCUGUACUGGGGCUGGACACGCAGACAUGGAAGCUUAGAGCAGUAGGGGACCUUCAGGCCAACCAGGCCAGCCCCUGUUUUACAACCAGGGAACUGAGGUCCGGGUGAAGUGACCUGCCCGGGGCCACGUGGCCUGUUAUGUAGAGAGUCCUAGUCACUUGAUUAGCAGCUCACUGUGCCUUUCACGGUUCACGCCUCUGUUAGGAGUCUCAGGUGAAACAGUGAACGUAAAUGUGCACGGGGACCUUCCCGACCCAGGGAUCACACCUGUGUCUCCCGCACUGCAGGCAGAUUCUUUACCAUCUGAGCCAACUUAGGCGCAUUUCCCAGUGGAAUGAGAACAACAGUGAGUUGGACUGCCGUUUUUAAACCUUCGCUUGUACAGCAUGUUCAGGCAACAAGGAGGUUUACCAUCUAUGUAAAAGCACUAAAGGGCUUCCCUGGUGGUUCAAUGGUAAAGAAUCCCUUUGGAGAAGGAAAUGGCAACCCACCCCAGUAUUCUUGCCUGGGAAAUCUCAUGGACAGAGGAACCUGGUGAGCUAUAGUCCAUUGGGGUCACAAAUGAGUUGGACAUGACUUAGAAAUUAAACAACAACAAAAAACACACCAAAACACAGAAGGUGCUAUAUAAAGGCUUUUAUUGUAAUCAUACCAAUAAUCUUUUAUUAUAAUGUUAAAUGUAAUAAAUAUAAUUGGAUGAUGCUAAUUCA
Molecule: long non-coding RNA, 1126 nt
Filed under: Bos indicus x Bos taurus (hybrid cattle)
Lineage: Eukaryota; Metazoa; Chordata; Mammalia; Artiodactyla; Bovidae
Description: lncRNA (ENSBIXG00005024626.1)
Source: RNAcentral